Molecule: non-coding RNA, 216 nt
Organism: Pelobates cultripes (western spadefoot toad)
Lineage: Eukaryota; Metazoa; Chordata; Amphibia; Anura; Pelobatidae
Source: the annotation of a GenBank genome assembly
GUUUAAAGGGACACUAUAGUCACCUAAACAACAUUAGCUUAAAGGACCACUAUAGUGCCAGGAAAACACUCGUUUUCCUGGCACUAUAGUGCCCUGAGGGUGCCCCCACCCUCAGGGACCCCCUCCCGCCCGGCUCUGGAAGGGGGAAAGGGGUGAAAACUUACCUUUUUCCAGCACUGGGCGGGGAGCUCUCCUACUCCGAUCCUCCUCCGUUCC